GAAUAUUUUGAGGUAUUUGUUUUCUAACAUGAAGAUCUUUAUAAAACAUGACUUGGUUCACGGACAGCGUCUUUCAUCAUUUAAAUUUAUGAAUAUGUAAUAGGUGUUGUCUUUUAAUUAUAUUUUCCUGAGUGAAUGCUGGUUCUGUGUGCUCAAGAAAAGAGCUUACUUUAUUACUGUCCAAUAUUUUCCUUUUUUACUUGUUUACGAUGUAGCUUUUUUGGUUAGCUCUUAGUUGUUUCAACUUCUUCAUCUUCUUUUUGUGCGGCCAGGAGAACUAAUGUCUUAAUAAACUC
This 296-nucleotide unclassified non-coding RNA is filed under the name Hevea brasiliensis (rubber tree). The record is from RNAcentral. Lineage: Eukaryota; Viridiplantae; Streptophyta; Magnoliopsida; Malpighiales; Euphorbiaceae.